This 780-nucleotide ribosomal RNA is filed under the name uncultured organism. RNAcentral's name for it is "bacterial SSU rRNA". It matches the Rfam family "Bacterial small subunit ribosomal RNA", at positions 56 to 884 of the family's 1533-position model. The record is from RNAcentral.
UGCAGUCGAGCGCACUCUUCGGAGUGAGCGGCGGACGGGUUAGUAACGCGUGGGAACGUACCCAGAUCUAAGGAAUAGCCACUGGAAACGGUGAGUAAUACCUUAUACGCCCUUCGGGGGAAAGAUUUAUCGGAUUUGGAUCGGCCCGCGUUAGAUUAGGUAGUUGGUGGGGUAAUGGCCUACCAAGCCUACGAUCUAUAGCUGGUUUUAGAGGAUGAUCAGCAACACUGGGACUGAGACACGGCCCAGACUCCUACGGGAGGCAGCAGUGGGGAAUCUUANACAAUGGGCGCAAGCCUGAUCUAGCCAUGCCGCGUGAGUGAUGAAGGCCUUAGGGUCGUAAAGCUCUUUCGCCUGUGAUGAUAAUGACAGUAGCAGGUAAAGAAACCCCGGCUAACUCCGUGCCAGCAGCCGCGGUAAUACGGAGGGGGUUAGCGUUGUUCGGAAUUACUGGGCGUAAAGCGCACGUAGGCGGAUUAGAAAGUUAGGGGUGAAAUCCCGGGGCUCAACCUCGGAACUGCCUCUAAAACUCCUAGUCUAGAGUUCGAGAGAGGUGAGUGGAAUUCCAAGUGUAGAGGUGAAAUUCGUAGAUAUUUGGAGGAACACCAGUGGCGAGGGCGGCUCACUGGCUCGAUACUGACGCUGAGGUGCGAAAGUGUGGGGAGCAAACAGGAUUAGAUACCCUGGUAGUCCACACCGUAAACGAUGAAUGCCAGUCGUCGGCAAGUAUACUUGUCGGUGACACACCUAACGGAUUAAGCAUUCCGCCUGGGGAGUACG